UACGGAGGGAGCUAGCGUUGUUCGGAAUUACUGGGCGUAAAGGGCGCGUAGGCGGCCUUCUAAGUCGAACGUGAAAUCCCCGGGCUCAACCCGGGAACUGCGUCCGAUACUGGAAGGCUUGAAUCCGGGAGAGGGAUGUGGAAUUCCAGGUGUAGCGGUGAAAUGCGCAGAUAUCGGGAGGAACACCUAUGGCGAAGGCAGCUCGCUGGGACGUUACUGACGCUGAGACGCGAAAGCGUGGGGAGCAAACAGG
Molecule: ribosomal RNA, 253 nt
Filed under: uncultured bacterium
Lineage: Bacteria
Description: partial 16S ribosomal RNA
Rfam family: Bacterial small subunit ribosomal RNA
Source: RNAcentral